UACGUAGGGUGCAAGCGUUGUCCGGAAUUAUUGGGCGUAAAGAGCUCGUAGGCGGUUUGUCGCGUCUGCUGUGAAAUCCCGAGGCUCAACCUCGGGCCUGCAGUGGGUACGGGCAGACUUGAGUGCGGUAGGGGAGAUUGGAAUUCCUGGUGUAGCGGUGGAAUGCGCAGAUAUCAGGAGGAACACCGAUGGCGAAGGCAGAUCUCUGGGCCGUUACUGACGCUGAGGAGCGAAAGCAUGGGGAGCGAACAGG
RNAcentral lists this ribosomal RNA (253 nucleotides) under uncultured Microbacteriaceae bacterium. RNAcentral describes it as "partial 16S ribosomal RNA". It matches the Rfam family "Bacterial small subunit ribosomal RNA", at positions 524 to 776 of the family's 1533-position model. Lineage: Bacteria; Bacillati; Actinomycetota; Actinomycetes; Micrococcales; Microbacteriaceae. The record is from RNAcentral.